CAAUUUGUAGUUCUCUAUCCCCAACAAUUCGGUCUUGGAAGGAGGGAAAUAUUUCAGCUAACGAGAAAUUCGUGCAAGUUUAUAUUUGCUGAUGAUGGAGUGAAGAGAGAAUUAAAGGAGAUUUUUAGUUCACCAGAACAGAAGCUCGACCAAUCUUUCGAAUUUAGGGGCAUAUGCAGAAACGCUGAUCAUUUCUUUAGUUGUAUUAUCAACUGUUAUUGACAUCUUUAGAAUGAUAUUUGUUUUCUUCAAGUAAUGCAGAAUCUUCAUUGGUUCCUAAUUAAUUA
Long non-coding RNA from Rosa chinensis, 287 nucleotides. RefSeq lists it as uncharacterized. Lineage: Eukaryota; Viridiplantae; Streptophyta; Magnoliopsida; Rosales; Rosaceae. The record is from RefSeq and is a predicted model, not a curated record. The transcript is spliced from 2 exons.